GAUGAACGCUGGCGGCGUGCCUAAUACAUGCAAGUCGAGCGAACAGACGAGGAGCUUGCUCCUCUGACGUUAGCGGCGGACGGGUGAGUAACACGUGGAUAACCUACCUAUAAGACUGGGAUAACUUCGGGAAACCGGAGCUAAUACCGGAUAAUAUAUUGAACCGCAUGGUUCAAUAGUGAAAGACGGUUUUGCUGUCACUUAUAGAUGGAUCCGCGCCGCAUUAGCUAGUUGGUAAGGUAACGGCUUACCAAGGCAACGAUGCGUAGCCGACCUGAGAGGGUGAUCGGCCACACUGGAGCUGAGACACGGACCAGACUCCUACGGGAGGCAGCAGUAGGGAAUCUUCCGCAAUGGGCGAAAGCCUGACGGAGCAACGCCGCGUGAGUGAUGAAGGUCUUCGGAUCGUAAAACUCUGUUAUUAGGUAAGAACAAAUGUGUAAGUAACUAUGCACGUCUUGACGGUACCUAAUCAGAAAGCCACGGCUAACUACGUG
RNAcentral lists this ribosomal RNA (497 nucleotides) under uncultured bacterium. Its description in RNAcentral is "partial 16S ribosomal RNA". It matches the Rfam family "Bacterial small subunit ribosomal RNA", at positions 28 to 507 of the family's 1533-position model. The record is from RNAcentral.